GCUCCAGCAUGACCCGCUUCUCCUAUGCAGAGUACUUUGCUCUGUUUCACUCUGGCUCUGCACCUUCCAGGUCCUCCUCUCCUCCCGAGAGCCCACCGGCCCGAGCACCCCUGGGCCUGUUCCAAGGGGUCAUGCAGAAGUAUAGCAGCAACCUGUUCAAGACCUCCCAGAUGGCGUAAGUGACUCCCCACCUGGCCCCAAGACCACCCAGCUCACACCUCCAGCUGAGGCCGCAGGGGGGGGGUUAGCUUUGCAGCCCUAGAUCCCCUUCCUGCUGCGUCUAGAUUCUAGUGCUCCUACUGAGCUAGGCGUGGGGGCUGCAGCCUGAUGCCCACUAGGAGUGGCAUUCAGGCUGUGCUUGGGACUGACCUCAGAUGUUUUCAGAGGUUGGGACCCUGCUGCUGGAGGAGUUCCAUGGGACUCUGAAUCUGGGGUUCCAGCAAGAGGGAGAGGUUCAAAGGACUGGUGUGUGUGUGUGUGUGUGUGUGUGUGUGUGUGUGUGUGUGUGUGUGUAGUUGACUUUCACUCCCAUUCAUCCUCCUUGUGUCUCCCCAUACCACCUCCAGGGGUUCAUCUGUGCACAUCUAAGUCUCCACCCAGGACCCUUCAUUUAAGGGCCAGGUGCCAAAGCCCAGAACUAAUCGAUUAACCGGGGCCAAGGGAGAGGGUUCUGCCUCGGGUAUGGUGCCGAUGGGAUAUUUGUGCCUCCCUCCUUGCUCUGGCUCAGAGUGGCCUUAAAAGCACUUAAAAGGGAAAAAGGGGGCCCUUUGCUGGUACCCCAUUUCUGUGUGGCAGAGAGGAGGAUACAGUUCUCAUUCUCAGCCUCUCCAAGCCCUAUGGGCACCACAUUGUCCUUGGGACUUUGGGGUUGACAAAAAAAGAAAGUUCCAGUUCUAAUCUGGGUACAACUGCCUAUCCCUGCAUGUCUGUCAC
RNAcentral lists this long non-coding RNA (933 nucleotides) under Rattus norvegicus (Norway rat). RNAcentral's name for it is "long non-coding RNA NONRATT025300". Lineage: Eukaryota; Metazoa; Chordata; Mammalia; Rodentia; Muridae. The record is from RNAcentral.